GCACCUAUAGCUCAGCUGGAUAGAGCGCUGCCCUCCGAAGGCAGAGGUCAGAGGUUCGAAUCCUCUUAGGUGCGCCA
This 77-nucleotide transfer RNA is filed under the name Alphaproteobacteria bacterium. RNAcentral describes it as "tRNA-Arg". It matches the Rfam family "tRNA". Rfam says of the family: Transfer RNA (tRNA) molecules are approximately 80 nucleotides in length. Their secondary structure includes four short double-helical elements and three loops (D, anti-codon, and T loops). The record is from RNAcentral. Lineage: Bacteria; Pseudomonadati; Pseudomonadota; Alphaproteobacteria. RNAcentral also lists the same sequence under 5 other names.